CCGUUCCCAUCCCGAACACGGAAGUUAAGCUCUUCAGCGCCGAUGGUAGUUGGGGGAUUCCCCCUGUGAGAGUAGGACGUUGCCAGGC
This 88-nucleotide ribosomal RNA is filed under the name Bacillus sp. M6-12. The record is from RNAcentral. Lineage: Bacteria; Bacillati; Bacillota; Bacilli; Caryophanales; Bacillaceae.